RNAcentral lists this ribosomal RNA (499 nucleotides) under uncultured bacterium. RNAcentral describes it as "partial 16S ribosomal RNA". It matches the Rfam family "Bacterial small subunit ribosomal RNA", at positions 30 to 523 of the family's 1533-position model. The record is from RNAcentral.
AUUGAACGCUGGCGGAAUGCUUUACACAUGCAAGUCGAACGGCAGCACGGACUUCGGUCUGGUGGCGAGUGGCGAACGGGUGAGUAAUAUAUCGGAACGUACCUUAUCGUGGGGGAUAACGCAGCGAAGGCUGUGCUAAUACCGCAUACGCCCUGAGGGGGAAAGCGGGGGAUCGAAAGACCUCGCGCGAUUAGAGCGGCCGAUGCCUGAUUAGCUUGUUGGUGGGGUAAAAGCCCACCAAGGCGACGAUCAGUAGCUGGUCUGAGAGGACGAUCAGCCACACUGGGACUGAGACACGGCCCAGACUCCUACGGGAGGCAGCAGUGGGGAAUUUUGGACAAUGGGGGCAACCCUGAUCCAGCAAUGCCGCGUGAGUGAAGAAGGCCUUCGGGUUGUAAAGCUCUUUUGUCAGGGAAGAAACACCGGCUCUAACACAGUCCGGGAAUGACGGUACCUGAAGAAUAAGCACCGGCUAACUACGUGCCAGCCGCCGCCGUAA